CCUACGGGAGGCAGCAGUGGGGAAUAUUGCGCACUGGGCGAAAGCCUGACGCAGCGACGCCGCGUGAGGGAUGAAGGUCUUCGGAUCGUAAACCUCUGUCAGCAGGGAAGAACGGUCACUGUGCUAAUCAGCCGUGAAUUGACGGUACCUGCAAAGGAAGCACCGGCUAACUCCGUGCCCGCAGCCGCGGUCAUACGGAGGGUGCGAGCGUUAAUCGGAAUUACUGGGCGUAAAGCGCUCGUAGGCGGUAUGUCAAGUCAAGGGUGAAAUCCCCGCGCUCAACGUGGGAACUGCCUUUGAAACUGGCAAACUGGAGUGUGUGAGAGGAUAGUGGAAUUCCAGGUGUAGGAGUGAAAUCCGUAGAUAUCUGGAGGAACAUCAGUGGCGAAGGCGAUUAUCUGGCACAUAACUGACGCUGAGGAGCGAAAGCGUGGGUAGCAAACAGGAUUAGAUACCCCAGUAGUC
RNAcentral lists this ribosomal RNA (465 nucleotides) under uncultured bacterium. RNAcentral's name for it is "partial 16S ribosomal RNA". It matches the Rfam family "Bacterial small subunit ribosomal RNA", at positions 338 to 795 of the family's 1533-position model. The record is from RNAcentral.